Molecule: ribosomal RNA, 497 nt
Filed under: uncultured bacterium
Lineage: Bacteria
Description: partial 16S ribosomal RNA
Rfam family: Bacterial small subunit ribosomal RNA
Source: RNAcentral
GAUGAACGCUGGCGGCGUGCCUAAUACAUGCAAGUCGAGCGAACAGACGAGGAGCUUGCUCCUCUUACGUUAGCGGCGGACGGGUGAGUAACACGUGGAUAACCUACCUAUAAGACUGGGAUAACUUCGGGAAACCGGAGCUAAUACCUGAUAAUAUAUUUAACCGCAUGGUUCAAUAGUGAAAGACGGUUUUGCUGUCACUUCUAGAUGGAUCCGCGCCGCAUUAGCUAGUUGGUAAGGUAACGGCUUACCAAGGCAACGAUGCGUAGCCGACCUGAGAGGGGGAUCGGCCACACUGGAACUGAGACACGGUCCAGACUCCUACGGGAGGCAGCAGUAGGGAAUCUUCCGCAAAGGGCGAAAGCCUGACGGAGCAACGCCGCGUGAGUGAUGAAGGUCUUCGGAUCGUAAAACUCUGUUAUUAGGGAAGAACAAAUGUGUAAGUAACUAUGCACGUCUUGAUGGUACCUAAUCAGAAAGCCACGGCUAACUACGUG